RNAcentral lists this ribosomal RNA (740 nucleotides) under uncultured bacterium. RNAcentral describes it as "bacterial SSU rRNA". It matches the Rfam family "Bacterial small subunit ribosomal RNA", at positions 49 to 801 of the family's 1533-position model. The record is from RNAcentral.
CUACCAUGCAGUCGACGGGAUUGUUUUUGAGCUUGCUCGAGGACAAUCCAGUGGCGGACGGGUGAGUAACGCGUGAGGAACCUGCCUUUCAGAGGGGGAUAACGUCUGGAAACGGACGCUAAUACCGCAUGAUAUUUCGAAGCCGCAUGGUUUUGAAAUCAAAGGAGCAAUCCGCUGAGAGAUGGACUCGCGUCCGAUUAGCCAGUUGGCGGGGUAAUGGCCCACCAAAGCCGCGAUCGGUAGCCGGACUGAGAGGUUGAACGGCCACAUUGGGACUGAGACACGGCCCAGACUCCUACGGGAGGCAGCAGUGGGGGAUAUUGCACAAUGGAGGAAACUCUGAUGCAGCAACGCCGCGUGAGGGAAGAAGGUCUUCGGAUUGUAAACCUUUGUCCCCGGGGACGAUAAUGACGGUACCCGGGGAGGAAGCUCCGGCUAACUACGUGCCAGCAGCCGCGGUAAUACGUAGGGAGCAAGCGUUGUCCGGAUUUACUGGGUGUAAAGGGUGCGUAGGCGGCUAUGCAAGUCAGGUGUGAAAACCAUCGGCUUAACCGAUGGACUGCACUUGAAACUGUGUGGCUUGAGUGGAGUAGAGGCAGACGGAAUUCCCGGUGUAGCGGUGAAAUGCGUAGAGAUCGGGAGGAACACCAGUGGCGAAGGCGGUCUGCUGGGCUUUAACUGACGCUGAGGCACGAAAGCAUGGGUAGCAAACAGGAUUAGAUACCCUGGUAGUCCAUGCC